AGGAAAUGAUGUAAGAAAAGAAAAUUGAACUUGUUUGAAAUUCUACUGAUCAAGAAAACAUGAUACGAAUGUUAUGUGGCUUCCAAAUGAGUCCUCUGUGUGUGCGUGUGUGCGCGCGUGUGUGUGUGAAUCUGGAUGAAUGAUCUCAAUUAGGGGUAUUGACUUAAAAUUUGAUAAUUUAUACUUCAGCAAUACUACAUACCAACAGCACGAGAACUGGCACGGCUAUCAGGCAUAGAAAGAGCUCCAAUCCUC
RNAcentral lists this small RNA (255 nucleotides) under Prunus dulcis (almond). RNAcentral's name for it is "sRNA ncRNA". The record is from RNAcentral. Lineage: Eukaryota; Viridiplantae; Streptophyta; Magnoliopsida; Rosales; Rosaceae.